CCUACCCUCCAGCCAAUCAGAGCGAGUGAGAUGUUUGUCUGUGUGAAAAUCAUGUGAUCGCCUCUGUCCGCGGGCGCAAUAUCUCUGCGAAUGAGGGUUAGCUGCUUUCGGAAGCAAACGGAAAAACUGCUACGGACCUGAGGCUGCGAUAGGCAGAGGUAAUUGCCACCAUCUUUAUUAGGGGCAGUGAUCUUCGGGACUCAUGCCGGAUCGCCAUAUUUAUAGGUGGCAACCUGCAGUGGAACGCAAGCGCAGCCUUUCUUGCUUGGGAGGGGAGAUUAAGACAAGAGAAAUGUUUGUUUUUGUUUUUGUUUUUCUGGACUUCUUUCCCAGACUGUGAGACACGGCGUGUAUUUCCUGGGAAGGACCUUUGACGCUGGCGGAGUACUGGCUUCAGGCAGUAUAAAUUGCUGCAAGUUAUCCGUUAGAUAUUUAAUGGAGGAGAAAUGCCGAAAACGUGUUCAGAACUGCAUGUUCAAAAACAAAGUUGCUGGAAAAGCUCAGUAGGUUUGGUAGCAUCUGUGAAAGGAAAAAAAAUAACGUUUCGGAUCCGCUAAUCCUUGCUUAGAACUUCAUGUUACCUGUUGCACUCUCACUGUAGGAAGUCCUGCUUUAAAUAUUAUGAUCUAUUAAAGCAUAUCCGUUUGCCCAGUAUUCAUAUGAUUGGGAUCAAAUCACUGAAAGUGCUCUGAGUCCCCUUGUGCUCCCUCGUCAAAUUUAUUAAUGUCUGACUUCCUCAGUCUGUAAUAAUGGGUGUAUUUUACCUCUGCAUCUUUCUGUGUGGGGGAGCAGGGUGCUUUUAAGAGGAGGAUUUAUACAUAACUAACAGAAACCAAGAGAAAUGUUUGCCUUUUCCAGACAAUCUUGUGUUUUCUGGAUUUCUGUCCAGGCCUGACCGUUAUUUGUCUCUUGUGGAUUUGCUUUACAGGAUAUUUAUUGAGAAUAAUUUGCAAACCAGGAUCCCAAUGCAAGUUCUCCAUUAAGCGGAGUGAUCAGGAUCUGAGUAUCAUUGACACUUAACAGUGAAAGGAAAGAGGUUUAACCAUUCUAUGCAUGGGAGAAUACUCCUGGACCUUUUGUGAUCUAAUCCCGUAACAGUGUGAGCUGCUACAAUGCACGUGCUAGUAAAAGCAUAAGAGGACAGAUGAGAUGAGUGCAUGGCUGGAGCUAUAACUUAAAAGUUUGAAAUUGUGAUUGCAUUCAGAGAAAUCAAACAAAACCACAUCCAGAUCUGACACUCAAUCUGUUUGUCGUAACCUAAUUAUCUCAGGAUUUUGAACAUUAAAGGAAGAAGCACUGUUCACACCAGGGAGAAAUGCGUAUUGUCUGUGUGUCGAAGAUUCUGUGAAGAUUCAUCUGAAAUGCCCAAACACCAGCACGGUCACACUGGGGAGAGACUGUGGUAAUGUGGGGAUUGUGGGAAGGGAUUUAUUUACCCAUCCCAGCUGGAAAUGCACCAACGCAGUCACACUGGGGAGAAACUGUUCAUUUGCUCUGAUUGUGGGCUGGGAUUCACUCAGUCAAGCAACCUGCUGAAACACCAACGAGUUCACAGUGGGGACAGACUGUUCACAUGUUCCGAGUAUGGGAAGGGAUUUGCUCACUCAACCAACCUGCUGAGACACCAGCGAGUUCACUCUGGGGACAGACCAUUCACUUGUUCUAUGUGUGGAAAGGGAUUCACUCAAUCAUCCCAACUGUUAACACACCAGCAAGUUCACCACAACCACAUUUGAAGGAUUUUGCCCUUAAAUCAAGGAAUGAACUUUGAUCUUUGGGCUGUUUGUACUGGUGUCAUUAGUCCCUGCUCAAAACUUGAUCUUCUCUUGGGAAAUAAGGUAGGGCAGGUGACUGAGGGGUCAGCAGGGGGGACAAUAUUUUGGGGCCUAUGAUUAUAUCUCUAUUAGUUUUAAAAUAAUUAUGGAAAAGGAUAGACUUUGGUCGAAGAGUCAAAGUUUUAAAUGAGGCCAAUUUUGACACUACUAUGCUUCUUAAAAGCACAGUAAGACCGCCUAUGUGUGGGAAUGCACGAGAUGGGUGAGAUACAAAAAAGUAUUUUACAUCAGUAUUUACUGUGAUAAAGGAUACAAAAGCUAAAGAACUUCGAGAAAUGAAUGUGUAUCUUGAAAAGCUCCAUGUUGUAGAGGAGGUGGUGCUGGAUGCCAUACAGAGCAUAAAGGUGGAUAAAUCCCCAGGACCUCUUCAGGUGUAUUCUCGAACUUUGCGGGAAGCUAAGCUUGCGAUUGGGCCCCUUGCUCAGAUAUUUGCACCAUUGACAGUCAUAGGUGAGCUGUUACACUGGAGGUUGGCUAAUCUGGUGCCAUUGUUUAAGAAAGGUGGUAACAUAAAACCAGGGAACAAUAAACUUUUAGUGAGCCUGACGUCAGUUGUGGGUAAGUUGUUGGAGGGAAUUCUGAGGGAUAGGAUUUACAUAUAUUUGGAAAGCGUGGACUGAAUGGGGAAUAGUUGACAUGGCUUUGUCCAUAGGAAAUUAUGCCUUACUAACUUGAUUGAGUUUUUUUGAAGAAGUUAGAAACAAGAUUGAUGGCAGAGCGGUGGAUGUUUUCGAUAUUCCUCAUGGUCGACUGAUUAACAAGGUUAGAUCACAUGGAAUCCAGGGAGAGCUGGCCAUUUGGAAAGGCCUUUGACCUGCAGUAUGCUGCAAGGAUUGGUACUUAGUAACUAUAACUCCUACAUUCACAUCCAAAUCAUCUUUAUAAAUGACACACCACUGGUCACAGGCCUCCAGUCGACAAAGCAACCCUCCACCAGCACUCCGUCUUCUACCUUCAAGUCAGAUCUGUUUCCAAAUGACUGGUUCUCUCUGUAUUCCAUCUGAUCUGACCUUGCUAAUCAGUCUACUAUGAGGAACCUUGUCAAACGCCUUAGUGACAUCCAUAUAGAACACAUCCACCUCUUUGCGCUACUCAAUCCUCUUUGUUCCUGCAUCAAAAAAAAUCAAGUCAGUGAGACAUGAUUUCCCACACACACAGCCAUGUUGAUUAUCCCUAAUCAGUCCUUCCCUUUCCAAAUAUUUCAAGUACUAUCCCUCAGGAUUCCUAGAACGACUUUCCCACCACUAAUAUCAGGCUCACUGGCCUAUAGUUCCCUGGCUUUUCCUUACCACCUUUCUUAAAUAGUGGCACCACAUUAGCCAACUUCUGGUCCCUCACCUGUGACUAUCGAUGAUACAAAUAUCUCAGCAAGGGGCCCAGCAAUCACUUGCCUAGCUUCCCUCCGAGUUCUCGGAUACACCUGAUCAGGUCCCAGGAACUUAUCCACUUUUAUACGUUUUAAGCAUCACUACCUCUGUAAUAUGGAUAAUUUUCAAGAUGUUGCUAUUUAUUUCCCCACAGUCUAUAUCUUCCAUAUCCUUUUCUGUAGUAAAUACUGAUGCAUAAUACUUGUUUUAUUAUAUUCCCCAUUUCUUGCAAUUCCACACAUAGGAGGCAUUGCUGCUUUUUAAGGGGCCCUAUCUCUCCAUCGUUAUCCUUUUUGUUCUUAAUCUAUUUGUAGAAUCCCACUGGAUUUUCCUUAAUACUAUUUGCCUAAGUUACCUCAUGUUCCCUUUUUGCCCUACUAAUUUCCCUCUUAAGUAUACUAUUGUCAUUAUACUCUUGUAAGCAUUCACUCGAUCUCUGCUGUCUAUACCUGACAUGUCCUUCCUCGUUUUUCUUGACCAAAACCUUGAUUUCUCUCGUCAUCCAGAAUUCCCUAUACCUACCAGCAUUGUCCUUCACCCGAACAGGAGUAUACUGUCCCUGAACUCUCGUUAUCUCUUUUUUUUUUUGAAGGCUUCCCACUUUCUAACUUUCUGUUUUACCUGCGAACAUCUGCCCCAAUCAACUUUUGAAAGCUCUUGUGUAAUACCAUUAAAAUUGGCCUUCCUCCAAUAUAGAGCUUUAACUUUCAGAUCCGGUCUACUCUUUUCCAUCACUAUUUUAAAACUAAUAGAAUUAUGGUCACUGGCCCCAAAGUCCUCCCCUGCUGAUACCCUAGUCACCUGUCCUGCUUUAUUUGCCAACAGCAGGUCAAGUUUUGCACCUUCUGUAGUCGGUACAUCACAUACUGAAUCAGAACAUUUUCCUCUACACUCUCAGCAAACUCCGCUCCAUCCAAGCCUUUUAGACCAUGGAAUUCCCAGUCUGUUUGGAAAGUUAAAAUCCCUUCCAUCACCACCCUGUUAUUCUUCCAGAUAACUUCUUUCAAAAUUAUUUGUCAGAUUCCUGCUGACUAAUGGGGGUGGCUAUAGUAUAAUCCCAAUAAGGUGAUCAUCCCUUUCUUAUUUCUCAGUUCCACCCAAAUAACUUCCCUGGAUGUAUUCUCAGAUAUAUCCUGCCUAAGUAACGCCGUAAUGUUAUCCUUGCUCAAAAAUGCCACUUUUCCCUCCUCUCUUGCUUUGCUUCCCCCUCCCCCUUCGACUUUCUAUCCUUUCUAUAGGAACUAUAUCUUAGAACAUUAAGCUGGCAGCCCUGUCCACCUCUGAGCCUUGCCUCUGUAAUUGCAAUGAUAACCCAGUUUCAUGUUUCCAAUCUUGCCCUGAGUUCCUCUGCCUUAGCUGUUAGGCCUCUGGCAUUGAAAUAAAUGGCGUUUAAUUUAUUAGUCCUUUCGCAUUAAUCUCAAUAACAAAUACGUAACUGUAGAGUAGGUUUUGAAAAUGAUAACGUUUUAUUGCUGUAGAUCAACACAUUCACACUGGGUAAAGACAAUCCACCCGCAGUGUGUGAAAAGGGAUUCCCUAGUUCAUUAGGACGGGUUUUCAUAGAAUUCGGAGUAUUCCUACAGUAUGGAAACAGGCCCUUCGGCCCAAGAAUUCCACACAAAACCUCAGAGCAUCCCACCCAGACACAUCUCCCCGUAGCCCACCUAAUGUACGCAUCACUGAACACUCUGGGCAAUUUAGCUUGGCGAAUCCACUAACCAGCACGUGGGAGGAAACCAGAGCACCUAGAGGAAACCCACGCAGCCACAGGGAGAAUAUGCCAACAACCACACACUCGGUUGCCCAAGGGUGGAAUCAAAUCCAGGUCCCUGGCACUGUGAGGCAGCAGUGCUAACCGCUGAGCCACUGUGGUUAAACACCAAUGAGUUCCCAAGAAUCUGUAGGAAUUUUUGUUGCUCGUAUUAUCUGUAUUCAAGUCAUGUUAUCUGGGCUUGUUUCUCAUGAUGUUUGAAAACACCACAUGUCUGGUUACCUUGUUGGGAGAAAAAAUGAUAUAAAUUUUAUUAAAACUACUGUGCAUUGGAUCUUUAUCUCAAAAGCAGACUAAUUUAUUUUGAAAGGGGAGAUGGAGAGCCUAUCUCCUCUAUCCUCACCUCCAACAAGUGCGAGGAACCUGUGGUUUUUAUUUUUCACUCAAUGACAGUCAGUACAUUUCAUAUGAGCAACUGGGAACCGAGUCAUCCCAAAAUGCUUGAAACUUAGUGUACUAAUGGUACACUAUUACAAUAAUAACCAUUACAAUUCUUUUCUGAACCUUUUGAAGUUUUACAACAUCCGUCCUUCAGCAGGAAGAGUAGAAUUACACACAGCGGUUACACCUAAACUGGAAUGGGAACUGCAUCCUUGUGGGAGCUGGGGAUGGGUUUCCAGUACUGUUGGGGGUCACGUAAAAAGUUUAGCAGUGGGCUGAAAUCCAGAGAAUGUUCAAAAAUAAUAAUGGCCAAAAAGAGAAGAAACAAGAGAGUCUGGAAGGCAUUGUCAUUGGGCAAUUAAGAUAUAAGCGAGUUUGCCACGGGUGAAUGGUAUUUAAUGCUUGGAGUCAGAUGAAUAAGGCAGAUGAUUUGAGGAUACAAAUUAGUGGGGUCAUAAAGCCAUUGCUGUCACUUGGACAUGGUUAGCAGCUCAGUAUUCCAGGAUACAGGGCCUUCAUGCAAGGCAGUGGAGGUGGUAAAGGAGGAGGAAAUAUUGUUAUUUUGCUUCGGGAAUCUAUACAGCAAUAAGGACAGGUGACAUUUUUGAAAACCCCUUUAAAUAAAUAAGGAGACAGAUUUUGAGAAAGUGUAGAAGUAGCAGGAUUAUGGUAGCAGAGACUUUCAACUUCCUCAACAUUAAUGGAGUCGUCAUAAUGUGAAGGAUUUAUCAGAAUUUUUAAAAUACAUCCAGGAGAGCAUUUUUUCAGCCACUAAGUAGAAGUCCCAACAAGGAAGGGGAAGGUCCUGGACUUGACUUUAGGUUACAAAGUUGAGCAAGUGGUUGAAGUUUCAGUGGGAUAGCAUUUUGCAGGUAGUUAUUAUAACUAUUCGAUUCAGGAUUUGUAUGGAAAAGGACAAGGAUGGGUCUAAAGUCCUAAACUGAUGCUGAAGUUAUGAAGAAAGUAAAUGGAAUUUUGGCCUUAACUGCGAGGUGUUGGUGUUUUGAGGAUCGGGACAUCUUGUAACAACUGUAUUGGAUGUUGGUGAAGCCAUAUUGGUUUAGCUACUCGUAUUUAAGAAAGGAUAUGCUGGCGUUGAAUGCGGUGCAAAAGAGAUUCGCUAAGCUGAUUCAUGGGAUGUAAGGGUCAUCAAGAAUAGCUGGAGGAAGGGAAUUUGCAAAGGGAAAAUACUAAAUAAACAGGUGGUGCCCAGUGUUGGGCUCAUACUCACAACUCUGCACUUAAACAGCGUAUGUUCCAACAACUGAGUUAACUUGGCCUUCCACAGUCAAUGUUCAAAUCCUGCUUUAUAAGGUGACAAAUGGGUUUUUCACUGACGCCGCUGCAGUCCAAGGAAGUAAAAGGUAACUGCUUUAGAAAAUCCCAAGGUUCCAAUGUAUUCUUCUCAUUCACAUUGCAAUCCAUUUUCAGUACUUGCUCCAGGAUUUAACAUUCAAAAUUAAUUUCGUGAUGUUGUUGCCCUCAUCUUUAAGUGCCCUGUAUAACUCCAGUCACUCGGUCGAAUGGUGAAAAAGUCUGUUUCAAUAAACCAAUUUUUUUCAGC
Long non-coding RNA from Stegostoma tigrinum, 6918 nucleotides. RefSeq lists it as uncharacterized. The record is from RefSeq and is a predicted model, not a curated record. NCBI's taxonomy places the organism in Eukaryota, Metazoa, Chordata, Chondrichthyes, Orectolobiformes, Stegostomatidae. The transcript has 4 exons.